CUGAGCUGGCUUUUUAUAUUGAACUAAUUUAGCUCCCAAAAAAGAGAGGGGCGAGAAAAGGUCGCCGGAGUCAACCGAAGGAGAUGCUCGCUGCCGUCGCUGGUGAUCUCAAUCACUGCUCAACUACUAUACAUAUUUAUUAAUUACAUACACAUAAAAAGGUUCAGCCUUUCCCCCUACUUCCAUCGCUUUCAAGCUCCAAGUUGUUGCCCUCGUUCUCGCACGCGCGCUCUUCAAUCUCUCCGAUCCUCGAUCUUCGGGCUCCUUCGUUAACCGGCCCUUUUCUCUGGCGAACCGUUAAGUCAAUACUCGGCACAUCUCCUGUUCUAUGCCUAUUCGCGACGCCGUCUUGGCUUAGACUUUGUGAGUGAGUACGACAGAAAGAGAGAGAGGUUUGGAGUGUGUGUGUGUGUAUGGGCUAUGGCGGAGCCAACAUCAGGUGCAGGUGGUACUUGGAAGGAGAGCAAGAUAUGUAAGAUGGUUUUUUCUGUGGUCGGAAUCAUGUCCACCCUCGUCACCUACGGGAUCUUACAGGAAAAGAUCAUGAGAGUGCCAUACGGGGUUAACAAAGAAUAUUUUAAAUACUCCCUGUUUCUUGUUUUCUGCAAUCGCAUCACAACAUCGGCCGUCUCUGCAGGUGCUUUACUGGCAAGUAAGAAAGCCCUGGACCCAGUAGCUCCAGUGUACAAGUACUGCCUUGUGUCAAUAUCAAACAUACUAACCACCACAUGUCAGUAUGAGGCCCUGAAAUAUGUCAGUUUUCCCAUUCAGACACUUGCUAAAUGUGCUAAAAUGAUACCUGUUAUGGUUUGGGGCACUAUUAUUAUGCAGAAGAAAUACGUAGGACAUGACUAUUUGUUGGCUUUUCUGGUGACCCUGGGCUGUUCAAUAUUUAUUCUAUAUCCGGCAGCAUCUGAGAUCAGCCCAUACAGUCGAGGAAGGGAAAACACUACUUGGGGCGUCUCCCUAAUGAUUGGUUAUCUCGGGUUUGAUGGAUUUACGAGCACAUUCCAAGAUAAACUUUUUAAAGGCUAUGAUAUGGAUAUACACAACCAAAUAUUCUACACAACAUUAUGUUCUUGUAUUCUUAGCUUUACAGGUCUUAUAUUACAAGGACAUCUACUUCCAGCUGUAGAUUUUGUUUAUCGCCAUAAUGAUUGUUUCUUUGACAUCACAUUGCUUUCCACUGUUGCAACCGUGAGUCAAUUUUUCAUUUCCUACACAAUUCGUAAUUUUGGGGCCCUGACAUUUGCCACCAUUAUGACCACAAGACAGUUGGUGAGUAUCAUGCUGUCAUGUGUCUGGUUUGCCCAUCCCCUUAGCUGGGAACAGUUGAUCGGAGCUGUUAUUGUCUUUGGUUCCCUAUAUGCAAAAAGCUUCUUGAGAAAAGCACCUCAACGAUCUUCACCUUCAGAAGCUACAGAAAAUUGAUCUUCUAGGCCAGUGUAGUAAUCAACGAUGAGUUUCAGUCUUACGGCUACUAUGAGAUAUGGCACUCAAUUCGGUCUCUAACUAAGCCUCAUCAGAUGUGGUUCCAAAGGCUUCAGGCGGGAAUGUUUGUUUCGCCCCUCCCAGCCUUGAGCUCAUUAGAUGGUGGUGUUGUCCACUCCGGAGUUGCGCCACCUUCUUAAGCAGAGUAAGCCAGCCUGGCGAUUUGAUUCUUAAAUAAUCUUGGCUGAGGCGUGAUUUUAACUUCCAAUAGCCACGCCUACGUUAGACACGAGCUCCCCACCUCUAGAUAUGGCUCAUGUCGCUCCAUCCCCGACUGGCAUAGAAACGCUUCUGACAAGACAAUCCUCUAACUGGAGAUAAACGGAAACGAAUGAGCUAGUGACACAUAAGUGACCCUUCAACUAUCCUGGGUGCCACAUUGCAGGUAAUUUUUUCUCUAUUUCUGUCUUCCCCCCAACCCAACCCAACCCACCCCACCCUUCUCUCUCUCUCUCUCUCACCGAAAACCCCUCUGUGUCAAACUGAAGACCCCUCUCUCUCUAUCGUACUGCAAGCAAGCAACAGGAAUCCAUCAACAGCUACCAUUAACACAUUGGGGUUUUCGAGCUGGUUCCAUUAACACAAAUACAAAGUUUUGGUAUUCUAUUGUUCGGUAUUUAAUUAAUAUGGUAUUAAAUUUGUUUGGUAUUCUAUUGUUUGUGGUGAUGGGUCAGUUUUGUUGUAAAAAUUGAAAAGAAAGUCCUAUAGAUCCCUCUGAUCAUUAAGUGGUAGAUGGUCCAACUAUUUAGAAAUUAACUCGAACCCAAAGAGAAAAGUACCUUCAUUCUGUAAAAUGGAAGCCAAAAUUUUUUUCCUUUCUCCA
Carya illinoinensis is the source of this 2314-nucleotide RNA transcript. It is a transcript of the gene named UDP-galactose/UDP-glucose transporter 5B-like, with no coding region annotated. NCBI's taxonomy places the organism in Eukaryota, Viridiplantae, Streptophyta, Magnoliopsida, Fagales, Juglandaceae. The record is from RefSeq and is a predicted model, not a curated record. The transcript has 14 exons.